UUCAGUCUCACAGUCUCACUCUCUCACACAGUCUCGCUCCCACGCCCACCUCUCCACCGCCACUCCCUCGACUUUGACGACAUCCUAGAAAAUGCCCAUCACCGCCGCCGCGACCAACACAAUGGCACCACCACCACCCAUCUAGCCAUCCUCCGACCUCGACGACAUCCGUUACUUCGCUGGCUACUGUGUUGGUAAGAGUUGCCUUCUUUUGCGUUUCUCAGAUGGUUCCUUCACCACUAGUUUCAUAACAACCAUUGGGUUGAGGAAUUGCCGAAUUGGCUUCUCUUGUCAAAGACAAUCUUACUUGCAAGCAUCUUAUUCUCUCAGUGGAAGAGUCCUUGGUGGACUUCCUUCAGAGUGAUACCAUUACCAGGCAUAUUCAAUGAGGAUUGUUGUUGGAACUUGGACGUUGGAUGUGGUUUUGGAUGUUAAUUUGGAAUUUAUUGCGGAUGUCAUGACUCAUGUUUAUGUUGUUUUUGGACUUUGGAAUUUGGAUGUCUUGGACUUUCAGAUAUUUUGUAUGUUCAUUUGAUUUUAGAUGUUGGACGAUGUAAUAUUGUUAUUUUGGAUGUAUUGUUAAUCUAUGAACUUGGAUGUUGGACUUUGUAUUUA
Molecule: long non-coding RNA, 615 nt
Organism: Pyrus x bretschneideri (Chinese white pear)
Lineage: Eukaryota; Viridiplantae; Streptophyta; Magnoliopsida; Rosales; Rosaceae
Exons: 4
Source: RefSeq, a predicted model, not a curated record